CACUGGCCUUGGUCAUCAUCACCUUAGAGUUGGAGAGGCUCAUGCCCGACUGGUGUACUCCUAUAUCUGAUCUGCUAAAGAAAGCACAGGUCAGUAGUGAGCAGUUGAGCCACUGCAAGGAACUUGUAAAGCAGCACCUGAGAAGUUUGUAGUCCUCUUCCUGCUCAGACAACUUUGUUUCACUUCCCAGCCUCUGUGUCCCUACCCCAGUACCCUUUAGAGCAUCAUGGCAACCCCUUCUUGGUGGGAUGCCUCUAAAUUCUAGGCUUUAUGGAUCCUGUAACAAUAAAGGAAGAAGGCACUGGAAGGCAA
Neofelis nebulosa (Clouded leopard) is the source of this 312-nucleotide long non-coding RNA. RefSeq lists it as uncharacterized. The transcript has 2 exons. The record is from RefSeq and is a predicted model, not a curated record. NCBI's taxonomy places the organism in Eukaryota, Metazoa, Chordata, Mammalia, Carnivora, Felidae.